UACAGAGGUCCCGAGCGUUGUUCGGAUUCACUGGGCGUAAAGGGUGCGUAGGUGGCUUGGUAAGUUUGAUGUGAAAGCUCAGGGCUUAACCCUGAAAUGGCAUUGAAUACUACUGAGCUGGAGGUUUGGAGGGGGGACUGGAAUUCUUGGUGUAGCAGUGAAAUGCGUAGAUAUCAAGAGGAACACCAGUGGCGAAGGCGAGUCCCUGGACAACACCUGACACUGAGGCACGAAAGCUAGGGGAGCAAACAGG
Molecule: ribosomal RNA, 253 nt
Filed under: uncultured bacterium
Lineage: Bacteria
Description: partial 16S ribosomal RNA
Rfam family: Bacterial small subunit ribosomal RNA
Source: RNAcentral